AAAGAAGGAAAGGAGGAAAAUAAAAUAAAAUGUAUUAAAUUACUUUGGGGGAAAAAUAGAGCAGCCUAGGCAUAUUUUUUCACUGAGAUGCAUGAGAAUUACUCAGGAUUAUACAGGCCUCCAGGGAAAGCCUGGCUAGGUGGCCUAUUUCUCAUGCCCUACACUGUGCUCAUUUAUUUACCAUGAGGCACAUUUUGGAUUUGCAGGUGCGUCACUAGGACACAAGACAGCAGACACCACUCUGGAAUGGCACUAAGGAUGGGGACCCAGUGAAGUCUUCUGUCCUAUCUGCUCUGUCUUCUCAGCCCACUGCUUGUCUCCUCCCAAUUGUGACCUCAUGUUAUUCCAGAAUGAGCUCCCUCCUGAGCCUUUUUUGUUCUGGGUUCUGUCCUGUAAUGGGAGUGAAGGCUACAAUUGGGGAUGGAAUAUGCUGAGCUGGUAGCAGAGAUGCAUCUGGAUGGAGGAAGGGAAACUUCUUGGCCCAGGGUGAGAUGCUGUCACCAAAAUCCUUUCUUCCUUGGCCCCUUCCCCAGGGGUUAUGAGUGGGCUCUUCCAUAGAAGAUGGACCCUGGUAGAGGAAGAGCUGAAGGGAAGCAAGGCAGCUGUGACAGACCCUGAGACCCCUGAAGACAUACUGAGAGGAGACAGAUGAGGCAGACCCCAGGAGCAGCCAAGAGCCCCAAACUGAUGCCAAAUGCUUGGAACGGAGCCAAUAAAGCCUUGUAUCCCCUCA
Long non-coding RNA from Heterocephalus glaber (naked mole-rat), 733 nucleotides. RefSeq lists it as uncharacterized. Lineage: Eukaryota; Metazoa; Chordata; Mammalia; Rodentia; Bathyergidae. The record is from RefSeq and is a predicted model, not a curated record.